This 132-nucleotide transfer RNA is filed under the name Acidobacteriota bacterium. RNAcentral describes it as "tRNA-Ser". The record is from RNAcentral. Lineage: Bacteria; Pseudomonadati; Acidobacteriota.
GAGGUAUCAAGUCAAGAAUUUCCUUGUAAAUUCGACUAUUUUUGAAUUUUUUAUCUCUCCUGAUAACUCCUGACAUUGGUGUUCGGCUGACUCUUAAUCAGCGGGUCACAGGUUCGAUCCCUGUCCGGCUCA